Molecule: non-coding RNA, 97 nt
Filed under: Xanthobacter autotrophicus
Lineage: Bacteria; Pseudomonadati; Pseudomonadota; Alphaproteobacteria; Hyphomicrobiales; Xanthobacteraceae
Also listed under: 1 other name
Description: Glycine sequence
Rfam family: Glycine riboswitch aptamer
About the family: This family represents the bacterial glycine riboswitch. Glycine riboswitches usually consist of two metabolite-binding aptamers domains with similar structures in tandem.
Source: RNAcentral
ACGAUCCCUGCGGGAGAGACCGGCGGCCGCAAGGUACGCCGGCGCCGAAGGCGCAACCGCCCCGGAACCGCUCAGGCCCAAGGACCGCAGGGGGACG